RNAcentral lists this long non-coding RNA (718 nucleotides) under Physcomitrium patens. Its description in RNAcentral is "long non-coding RNA (PPAT_LNC002497)". The record is from RNAcentral. Lineage: Eukaryota; Viridiplantae; Streptophyta; Bryopsida; Funariales; Funariaceae.
GUAGUAUUGCAGAAGUCGAAGAUGGAGCUGAUAUUGACUCCGUCAAUGAUGAUCCUGACGGAAGGAGAGCCGGUAGUGCAGCAGGUGGAGAGCGGGCAAAGACAUAGGGGCGAGCAGCCUGAAGGACUCUCUGGACCUGGACUAGGUGAACCACCUAUCUAUGGGGGAUUGCUUUGAGUAAGCAGAGUUCUGUACGUAUUUAGACUCCAUACACAGUUCUCUCAUGAGAAGAAAUAUGCAAGUCAAAACUCUAAUCAGGGUGUGAAGACCCUAAUUAGGAUUUUCAAACCCUAAAUUAUAGAAAACGAAACACAUCUUUUUGAAAAACAAAAACGUUUAUAGAGGUCUUUGGGUGAUUCUAAGCCUUGGCAAUAUUUUACAACAAAAAAAGCUAUGAUACAUUGAGAGAUAUUGAGGAUAAAAAACCUCUAGGACAUCUAUGUAAUCCCUAAACCCUAAAUCCUAAACCUAGUCUUUUUCUUCUUCUUUCAGAAAUUUUGUUAAUCUCCUUUCAGAGAUCUUGUUAUUUUUUUAUUUAAUAAUUACUUAUCAAGAACUUUGCCUACCACCUUAAAUCUGGUCAGAACACCCAUCCUCAAAACUAUUGUCAAAGUGAAUGAUGAUCUUAAUUAAACUCACAUCCUUAAUUAGGAUUAGAAGUUCCUAAUUAGGAAUAGAAGACCCUAAUUAGGGUUUCAAAAUCCUAAAUAACAAAAAA